Molecule: transfer RNA, 67 nt
Filed under: Furipterus horrens
Lineage: Eukaryota; Metazoa; Chordata; Mammalia; Chiroptera; Furipteridae
Description: tRNA-Asp
Source: RNAcentral
GAGACAUUAGUAAAACUUACAUAACUUUGUCAAAGUUAAGUUACAAGCGAAACCCUUGUAUGUCUCC